GCGGACGCGGCCUCCUUACCUCAUUUGUCCUCGCCCCUCCCCGUCCCUCUACGCGUUUUGGUCCCUGUUUGGUGCUUUCUGUUUGCAGCUACGGCAGUGAGUAUAUCUGGGCAUAGGAACCAAUCAGAAACAAUCGCUUCAGCAAUCAAGACCAUUGUUCAUCAUGGAGGAACCCAUGGAUACCUCUGAGCCUCUAUCUGCAUUACCAUUCACUGGGCAGCAGUCUUUUGAGCCAAGUGGCAAAUUUGGACAGUAUCCAUCGAUGCAGAUGAACCACAUCCAGGCACUGGGGAAGUGGAGGACAUAGAACA
RNAcentral lists this long non-coding RNA (311 nucleotides) under Homo sapiens (human). RNAcentral describes it as "non-protein coding lnc-ZCCHC7-2:2". The record is from RNAcentral. Lineage: Eukaryota; Metazoa; Chordata; Mammalia; Primates; Hominidae.